This 494-nucleotide ribosomal RNA is filed under the name uncultured bacterium. RNAcentral's name for it is "bacterial SSU rRNA". It matches the Rfam family "Bacterial small subunit ribosomal RNA", at positions 25 to 518 of the family's 1533-position model. The record is from RNAcentral.
CAGGACGAACGCUGGCGGCGUGCCUAAUACAUGCAAGUCGAACGAACGCUGAAAAGCUUGCUUUCAGAGUUAGUGGCGAACGGGUGAGUAACACGUAAGUAACCUAGCUAUUAGACGAGGAAUAACUACUGGAAACGGUAGCUAAGACUGGAUAGGAUAGAAAUAUUUAAAGGAUGCUUAGGCAUCGCUAAUAGAGGGGCUUGCGGCGCAUUAGCUAGUUGGUAGGGUAAAGCCAACAAGGCGAUGAUGCGUAGCCGACCUGAGAGGGUGACCGGCCACACUGGGACUGAGACACGGCCCAGACUCCUACGGGAGGCAGCAGUAGGGAAUCUUCGGCAAUGGACGGAAGUCUGACCGAGCAACGCCGCGUGAAGUGAAGAAAGUUUUCGGAUUGUAAAGCUCUGUUAUUAGGGAAGAAAGGCUCUAGGAGGAAAUGCCUAGGGAUUGACGGUACCUAAUGAGGAAGCCACGGCUAACUACGUGCCAGCAGCUGC